GGAGGGGUGGCCGAGAGGCUGAAGGCGGCGGUUUGCUAAACCGUUAUACUCUGUCAAGGGGUAUCGUGGGUUCGAAUCCCAUCUCCUCCGCCA
Molecule: transfer RNA, 93 nt
Filed under: Rhodospirillales bacterium
Lineage: Bacteria; Pseudomonadati; Pseudomonadota; Alphaproteobacteria; Rhodospirillales
Description: tRNA-Ser
Rfam family: tRNA
About the family: Transfer RNA (tRNA) molecules are approximately 80 nucleotides in length.
Source: RNAcentral